AAGCACUGCCACGAAAUCUUGCAGUGUCAGUUUUACUGGAGAGAAAGGCUAUGCUUACAGGCUUGCCGCACGAAAUGACGCCACAUGAUAUGUGUUGUGUGCAUCAUUUCAGAAGGCUGACAAUCACAUACGUGCUCGCACUGCCGCAAGAAAAGUGGAGUAUCGAUUUAAAAAGACUUAUGCACUACACUUGUCGCACCGAAAAGAUGAUAUGCAAGUAAAGAAACGCAAAACAA
Rhipicephalus sanguineus (brown dog tick) is the source of this 236-nucleotide long non-coding RNA. RefSeq lists it as uncharacterized. The transcript has 2 exons. The record is from RefSeq and is a predicted model, not a curated record. NCBI's taxonomy places the organism in Eukaryota, Metazoa, Arthropoda, Arachnida, Ixodida, Ixodidae.